RNAcentral lists this long non-coding RNA (905 nucleotides) under Rattus norvegicus (Norway rat). RNAcentral describes it as "long non-coding RNA NONRATT022873". The record is from RNAcentral. Lineage: Eukaryota; Metazoa; Chordata; Mammalia; Rodentia; Muridae.
GGAAGUUAGUUUGUGGUUUCAGUUCGUGCUGGGAAUUGAACCCAGGUCCUCUUGAAGAGCAUCCAGUGCUCUUAACCGCUGAGACAUCCCUCCAGCCCCAAGUGAAGUCAUUUUCAAAAACUUUCUUUUCCAGCCCAGCUUGGCUUUUUAUUUGUGCCAGUAGAAGAACGAGAAAAACUGUCCUUUUUUAAAGAGAAAUCUGUAAAAAUGCCUGGAUUGAUGGGUAUGGGCUACUAGCAUUUAAUCGGAGCCUCUGAGGGCAGAAGCGGGUGGAUCUCUCCAAGUUCAAGGCCCACCUGAAUUAUGUGUAGUGAGACCUUGUCUAAAUAAGAAAGAAAAGAAUUUAAAUGUCUAGAUAAUAAGGAUUCAGAAAUGGCAGCUGGGCGGGGUGGCAUAUACCCGUAAUGCUAACACUUGAGGGGUGGAGGCAGGAGGAUCAGUUCAAAGCUGACUGGGGUUACACAAGAUCCCACCUCAAAAACAGAAGAGCAGGGCUGGAGAGGUGGCUCAAUGGUUACUGCUUUUCCAGAGGACCUGGGUUCACUACUACUAAGUCAGCCAUCUUUAACUCCAGUUCCUCGGGACCUGAUGUCCCCUGCUGGCCUCCAUGGAUAUUGCAUGCAUACGGUGCACGGACACAUGCAGAGAAAAUACCUAGGCAUAUAAAUCAAGUAAUCUUUACAACGUUUAAAAAAAAAAAACAACAACAACAGAGAAGUAACAUGAUAAUGUGAAUUUAUUUAGUGCUGGGAUACAGCCAGGGCCUGAAUUAGACUUUGUAGAAGCUGGUUGGUGUAUGAAGGUCACACGAGAGGACGCUCAGUGUCGGGCAAGUGUGGAAGUUCUGUACUGUUCUUAUUCCAUCAGCUAAGAUUUUUUUCCAAAAUAAAACGUUUAUUAAAAGC